UAAGGAUAUGUAGUGUUUCAUUAUGGUUUACUAUGGGUAUGACCUUUAUUGAAAUCAAAUAUCUAGUUGUCUUCCAUUGUAGUUUACCAUAGGUAUCAUAUUGUAAGAUUCUAUAUUGGUUGGAAACGAAACA
Molecule: long non-coding RNA, 133 nt
Organism: Cucurbita maxima (winter squash)
Lineage: Eukaryota; Viridiplantae; Streptophyta; Magnoliopsida; Cucurbitales; Cucurbitaceae
Exons: 3
Source: RefSeq, a predicted model, not a curated record